GCAGCAUUUUAGUUUGCUUGCAAACUGAAGAUGGCGACCGGCGCACGGGUGAGUAACACGUAUCCAACCUGCCGAUAACUCCGGAAUAGCCUUUCGAAAGAAAGAUUAAUACCGGAUAGUAUACGAAUAUCGCAUGAUAUUUUUAUUAAAGAAUUUCGGUUAUCGAUGGGGAUGCGUUCCAUUAGUUUGUUGGCGGGGUAACGGCCCACCAAGACUACGAUGGAUAGGGGUUCUGAGAGGAAGGUCCCCCACAUUGGAACUGAGACACGGUCCAAACUCCUACGGGAGGCAGCAGUGAGGAAUAUUGGUCAAUGGGCGCGAGCCUGAACCAGCCAAGUAGCGUGAAGGAUGAAGGCUCUAUAGGUCGUAAACUUCUUUUAUAUGGGAAUAAAGUUUUCCACGUGUGGAAUUUUGUAUGUACCAUAUGAAUAAGGAUCGGCUAACUCCGUGCCAGCAGCCGCGGUAAUACGGAGGAUCCGAGCGUUAUCCGGAUUUAUUGGGUUUAAAGGGAGCGUAGGUGGAUUGUUAAGUCAGUUGUGAAAGUUUGCGGCUCAACCGUAAAAUUGCAGUUGAAACUGGCAGU
RNAcentral lists this ribosomal RNA (583 nucleotides) under uncultured bacterium. RNAcentral describes it as "bacterial SSU rRNA". It matches the Rfam family "Bacterial small subunit ribosomal RNA", at positions 69 to 640 of the family's 1533-position model. The record is from RNAcentral.